GGCCCCAAAACAGAAAGGAAAGCUCACCACCAGAAUGUGCCUUUUCCUUAUCAAAAAGAAUUGCUGCCCCUUACAGGACAGGAGGACUCCAAUUGUGACCAAGUUGGAGCAGCCUUGAGCCACAACUCAGACUUAUUUUCAUUCUCUGCUCAUUGGCCAUUAGGAACCCGAUCCUUAUGACCUGCAGUGACCUGCUGCUACCAGAACUGACUCGCUUCAAAGUGACGGAUGAAACCCAUAUGGAGAUAUUCCUGGGGUGGGUAGGCCAGUUGGAAGACAGAGUGUUUACACCUGAGAGAGGACUUGAGAAUUUUACUCAGUCACGUUGCUCACUGCUGCGCACUCCUGCAGACGCAUCCCAGUGGACUCUGCGCUGCAUCCCCAGAGUACAGCGAGUUUCCCGCCUCCCGUUAGAGAUCCAACACAUAUUUUUUUUGAAAGAAGAAACUGAUGGAAGACAGGAAGCAAAAAGGAGAGGAAGGAAAGGGAUAGGAAGGAGGGGAAGGAAAGGGAAAGGAAGGAAAAGAAAGGAAAGUGAACUUGAAAUCCUACAAGGUCUCAAAGUCAAAAAACAUGAUUGCUGUUUUAGAGAAUUGAAGAUCCUUCAUCUUCAAGAAUCUGAAAUCUACCAUGAUCUUCACAUGUAGCCAAACACAAUGGGAUGUAGUCAUUUAAGAGUGCUGUGAAGGCAGUGAAAAGCAGUUGAAAUACCAUUAGUUAACAGAUUGCCCAAUGAAGUCGAUGACAACUGUGAUAACAAGUUACUCACUAUCACAGCGUCUCCAAGAGAUGAACAGUGGAUGAUGCUUCCAAAGCACAGAUGUCCCUCUCCUCCUCAACCUUCUCUCCCCAGAAAGAUGUCAACACUGUGGAGAUUGUGCUAUGAAGAUACCUGCACCCAGUUCCGGAUUUCACACCAAGCCUUUGCUGAGGAUAUGAGAGUAAUAAAAAGGGGAGCCCUGGUUCUUCCUCUCCUUUAGUGUCUUUCCUGGAAGUGGACUGCGAGAAGAGCUUCUUCAGCCACCUUCUGCCUGCAGACAACCUCCAUGAGUUUGCUUUAGAAGAAGGCUUCAAUUUGAAGAAAGUCAAAUAAAACAAGGUCAUUGUGUUUGCAAUUGAUCCUUGGAGACAGCGACAUCUGCGAAGCUUCCAAGCCACGGUGGUUCCACCUUCACAAGUAUCCUUCAAAGGCAUCCUGCAACCACCCCAUCCAUCCAAGUACUCCGUUGUAGGAUUCAAAAGCAAAUUGCAGGGUUUGCUGCCUGGCAGAGAAGCAUAGACACAAAGCAUGAGAGAGCAAAACCUAUGAGUUGACCAUAUCAUAAACACAAAUAGAUAUAUGCAGAAUACCAGCUAAAAAAUAGGCAAUAAACUUAAACAAUAGGACUAUGAGUAGACAUAGCAAGUGCUGGGUAGAGAUGACAGUUUUGUGUCCUGUUAGAGCUAAGUCAGAAAUCUGGGUCGAAGUGAAUGUGAGGGAGGAAAAGGCCAUUACAAUAUUUAAGAAGCAGCUCCAAUAUUUUUAAAACGUGAAGGAAAACUUGCAAGCAAUCUCUAGGGCUGGAGGGAGAGAAAUGCAAAGCCCUCUCAGCCUGCUCCACCAUUAUCUUUUGCAUUCCAAUAACUGACAUGCUGCUGAAUGUUAUGACUAUUUGUUUAUUGUUGACUGUUCUUGGCACUGCUCAGUGUAGCCAAAGAUUCCUUGCCUACAAGAAAGUCUUGCUCAGACAAUAAACCACGGAG
This 1743-nucleotide long non-coding RNA is filed under the name Homo sapiens (human). Its description in RNAcentral is "non-protein coding LINC01020:3". Lineage: Eukaryota; Metazoa; Chordata; Mammalia; Primates; Hominidae. The record is from RNAcentral.